CGGACUGUAGCGCAGCCUGGUAGCGCACUUGCAUGGGGUGCAAGGGGUCGGAGGUUCAAAUCCUCUCAGUCCGACCA
Molecule: transfer RNA, 77 nt
Filed under: Alphaproteobacteria bacterium
Lineage: Bacteria; Pseudomonadati; Pseudomonadota; Alphaproteobacteria
Also listed under: 3 other names
Description: tRNA-Pro
Rfam family: tRNA
About the family: Transfer RNA (tRNA) molecules are approximately 80 nucleotides in length. Their secondary structure includes four short double-helical elements and three loops (D, anti-codon, and T loops).
Source: RNAcentral